Molecule: ribosomal RNA, 301 nt
Filed under: uncultured bacterium
Lineage: Bacteria
Description: partial 16S ribosomal RNA
Rfam family: Bacterial small subunit ribosomal RNA
Source: RNAcentral
CAGUCGCCGCGGUAAUACGUAGGGUGCAAGCGUUAAUCGGAAUUACUGGGCGUAAAGCGUGCGCAGGCGGUUAUAUAAGACAGAUGUGAAAUCCCCGGGCUCAACCUGGGAACUGCAUUUGUGACUGUAUAGCUAGAGUACGGCAGAGGGGGAUGGAAUUCCGCGUGUAGCAGUGAAAUGCGUAGAUAUGCGGAGGAACACCGAUGGCGAAGGCAAUCCCCUGGGCCUGUACUGACGCUCAUGCACGAAAGCGUGGGGAGCAAACAGGAUUAGAUACCCCGGUAGUCCCUGUCUCUUAUAU